RNAcentral lists this ribosomal RNA (460 nucleotides) under uncultured bacterium. RNAcentral's name for it is "partial 16S ribosomal RNA". It matches the Rfam family "Bacterial small subunit ribosomal RNA", at positions 338 to 795 of the family's 1533-position model. The record is from RNAcentral.
CCUACGGGGAGCAGCAGUGAGGAAUAUUGGUCAAUGGGCGCAAGCCUGAACCAACCAAGUCGCGUGAGGGAUGACGGUCCUAUGGAUUGUAAACCUCUUUUGUCGGGGAGCAAGGCCCGCCACGUGUGGCGGGAAGGAGAGUACCCGAAGAAAAAGCAUCGGCUAACUCCGUGCCAGCAGCCGCGGUAAUACGGAGGAUGCGAGCGUUAUCCGGAUUUAUUGGGUUUAAAGGGUGCGUAGGCGGAAGGUUAAGUCAGCGGUCAAAUGUCGGUGCUCAACACCGGCCUGCCGUUGAAACUGGUCGUCUUGAGUGAGCGAGAAGUAUGCGGAAUGCGUGGUGUAGCGGUGAAAUGCAUAGAUAUCACGCAGAACUCCGAUUGCGAAGGCAGCAUACCGGCGCUCAACUGACGCUGAGGCACGAAAGCGUGGGGAUCGAACAGGAUUAGAUACCCGAGUAGUC